This 104-nucleotide small nuclear RNA is filed under the name Procavia capensis (Cape rock hyrax). The record is from RNAcentral. Lineage: Eukaryota; Metazoa; Chordata; Mammalia; Hyracoidea; Procaviidae.
GUGCUUACUUCAGCAACAAAUAUACUAAUUGAAAUGAUACAGGGAAGACUAGCAUUAGCAUGGCCCCUGCUCAAGGAUGGAACACAAAUUCAUGAAGUGUCUUU